This is a non-coding RNA of Desmophyllum pertusum, 68 nucleotides long. Lineage: Eukaryota; Metazoa; Cnidaria; Anthozoa; Scleractinia; Caryophylliidae. The record is from the annotation of a GenBank genome assembly.
GCCGGCCUAAUGGUUAGCGCGUUGGACUACGGAUCCAGCGGUCCGGGUUCAAGCGCUGGCCGGGGACA